Molecule: long non-coding RNA, 262 nt
Filed under: Lathyrus oleraceus (garden pea)
Lineage: Eukaryota; Viridiplantae; Streptophyta; Magnoliopsida; Fabales; Fabaceae
Description: Pisum sativum (pea) long non-coding RNA (PSAT_LNC031106)
Source: RNAcentral
AAGAUAGUUGAAAAAGAAAAGAAAAAGAAAAAAAGAAAAUAGAAAAAGAAAAAAACGAAUGAAAAAAAUAGAAGGAUGUCAAUACAUGUCAAUACAUACUCCUUCUGAAAAAAAUAAAAAAAUAAAGAGAAAUGAGAGAAAAAAACAGUUGUUAUAGAGUUGUUGAAGUGAAUGAAAUUUUUUGUAAAUUCAACUCCCGCAGUUUCUUUCAUGUCUCUUUUGUCUCUUUGAAUUUUAGCCUAGUACCCCCUUAGGAUUUAUC